AGUGAACGCUGGCGGUAGGCCUAACACAUGCAAGUCGAACGGCAGCACAGUAAGAGCUUGCUCUUACGGGUGGCGAGUGGCGGACGGGUGAGGAAUACAUCGGAAUCUACUUUUUCGUGGGGGAUAACGUAGGGAAACUUACGCUAAUACCGCAUACGACCUACUGGUGAAAGCAGGGGAUCUUCGGACCUUGCGCGAUUGAAUGAGCCGAUGUCGGAUUAGCUAGUUGGCGGGGUAAAGGCCCACCAAGGCGACGAUCCGUAGCUGGUCUGAGAGGAUGAUCAGCCACACUGGAACUGAGACACGGUCCAGACUCCUACGGGAGGCAGCAGUGGGGAAUAUUGGACAAUGGGCGCAAGCCUGAUCCAGCCAUACCGCGUGGGUGAAGAAGGCCUUCGGGUUGUAAAGCCCUUUUGUUGGGAAAGAAAAGCAGCAGGUUAACACCCCGCUGUUCUGACGGUACCCAAAGAAUAAGCACCGGCUAACUUCGUG
RNAcentral lists this ribosomal RNA (492 nucleotides) under uncultured bacterium. RNAcentral describes it as "partial 16S ribosomal RNA". It matches the Rfam family "Bacterial small subunit ribosomal RNA", at positions 29 to 507 of the family's 1533-position model. The record is from RNAcentral.